This 806-nucleotide ribosomal RNA is filed under the name uncultured Caryophanales bacterium. Its description in RNAcentral is "bacterial SSU rRNA". It matches the Rfam family "Bacterial small subunit ribosomal RNA", at positions 8 to 796 of the family's 1533-position model. The record is from RNAcentral. Lineage: Bacteria; Bacillati; Bacillota; Bacilli; Caryophanales.
AGAGUUUGAUCAUGGCUCAGGACGAACGCUGGCGGCGUGCCUAAUACAUGCAAGUCGAGCGGACUUUAAAGGAGCUUGCUCCUUUAAAGUUAGCGGCGGACGGGUGAGUAACACGUGGGCAACCUGCCCUGCAGAUGGGGAUAACUCCGGGAAACCGGGGCUAAUACCGAAUGAUCGAUACCUCCGCAUGGAGGUAUCCUAAAAGAUGGUUUCGGCUAUCACUGCAGGAUGGGCCCGCGGCGCAUUAGCUUGUUGGUGGGGUAAUGGCCUACCAAGGCGACGAUGCGUAGCCGACCUGAGAGGGUGAUCGGCCACACUGGGACUGAGACACGGCCCAGACUCCUACGGGAGGCAGCAGUAGGGAAUCUUCCGCAAUGGACGAAAGUCUGACGGAGCAACGCCGCGUGAGCGAAGAAGGCCUUCGGGUCGUAAAGCUCUGUUGUAAGGGAAGAACAAGUGCCAUUUAACUGAUGGCACCUUGACGGUACCUUGCGAGAAAGCCACGGCUAACUACGUGCCAGCAGCCGCGGUAAUACGUAGGUGGCAAGCGUUGUCCGGAUUUAUUGGGCGUAAAGCGCGCGCAGGCGGUCCUUUAAGUCUGAUGUGAAAGCCCACGGCUCAACCGUGGAGGGUCAUUGGAAACUGAGGGACUUGAGUGCAGAAGAGGAAAGCGGAAUUCCACGUGUAGCGGUGAAAUGCGUAGAGAUGUGGAGGAACACCAGUGGCGAAGGCGGCUUUCUGGUCUGUAACUGACGCUGAGGCGCGAAAGCGUGGGGAGCAAACAGGAUUAGAUACCCCCGUAGUCC